This 292-nucleotide ribosomal RNA is filed under the name uncultured bacterium. Its description in RNAcentral is "partial 16S ribosomal RNA". It matches the Rfam family "Bacterial small subunit ribosomal RNA", at positions 505 to 796 of the family's 1533-position model. The record is from RNAcentral.
GUGCCAGCCGCCGCGGUAAGACGAACCGUGCGAACGUUGUUCGGAUUCACUGGGCUUAAAGGGCGCGUAGGCGGGCUUUCAAGUCAGGGGUGAAAUCUUUCGGCUCAACCGGAAAACAGCCCCUGAUACUGGAAGUCUCGAGGGAGGUAGGGGCAUGUGGAACUCCAGGUGGAGCGGUGAAAUGCGUUGAUAUCCUAAGGAACACCGGUGGCGAAAGCGGCGUACUGGGUCUUAUCUGACGCUGAGGCACGAAGGCUAGGGUAGCGAACGGGAUUAGAUACCCCUGUAGUCC